UCUCAUGAUGAAGUGUUGGCAAGCACACCCAAGCCAACGCCCUAGUUUUGCAGAAAUCACUGCGGCGCUAGAGAAAAUGAACGACCCAUCAGAUGAGACCAUGUACUUGAUACCUUAUGUCGACGUGAAUCACGUGAUCAAACCAGAGUUUGACGAUAACUAGAAAGACGGUACAAUACUGAAGGCGAAACGUCUUAAAGAGAAUAAUGCCUUUCGAUAUACCUUGGAGGUGCGAUUAAUAUAUUUUUUUUUUUGGGGGGGGCCUUGCGUUUGACCUAGUUUAAAAGCUAUGUGUAAUUGACACAACUGUUGCACACUACAUACAUUCAAUGUUUCGAAUAUUAAAGUAUGUGCUGAAAUACCUGAAAACAACAUUUAGUGCAUUUAUUAUCUUCUUUUUUUUACUGUCGUUUGAUAAAAACAGUAGCCCAGAUAGCUCACAUAUUACAUUAAUGUCUAUAAAAUUAAAGCACGUUGCUUGGAGAUUUUAUGCAAUGUUUAAGCUGUAUAAACAUGCAUUGCUUAUAGAUGGCACCGCUGUUGGACGCAGUAAACGAUUUAUGAAAUGUAACCAUGAUACGAAUUCUGUAUAAUGCUACUUUAUUGCCAUGAGACAAUUGUGCUUACACGUUUAAUUAAUAAUAUACGUGUAUAUUUUGUACACGUAUUUUUUUGUAAAUGUUCUAUUACUUUAAAUUGGUACGAUUUAGGAUUUGAUUUAGAUAGAUAGGCCAUGAUAUUUAGAUACAUCUGAUAUAACUUGUUAGCUAUGAUCCGUUUAUUAUUCUUGAGUGUUGAAUCUUAUCAUGGAUCGGAUCCUAUCAAAGGAAUCUUUUCUGCUUACGAUAAACGUGUAUGUAUACUCGGAUAAACAUAUCUCACGUAUCGAUCAUGAAUUUAGAUUAAAAAUAUUAAUCAGUGUUGAA
Molecule: long non-coding RNA, 926 nt
Organism: Patiria miniata (bat star)
Lineage: Eukaryota; Metazoa; Echinodermata; Asteroidea; Valvatida; Asterinidae
Exons: 2
Source: RefSeq, a predicted model, not a curated record